GACGAACGCUGGCGGCGUGCUUAACACAUGCAAGUCGAACGAAAAGAGGGAAAGAGCUUGCUCUUUCCGGAAUUGAGUGGCAAACGGGUGAGUAACACGUAAACAACCUGCCUUCAGGAUGGGGACAACAGACGGAAACGACUGCUAAUACCGAAUAAGUUCCAAGGGCCGCAUGGCCCAUGGAAGAAAAGGUGGCCUCUACCUGUAAGCUAUCGCCUGAAGAGGGGGUUGCGUCUGAUUAGCUGGUUGGAGGGGUAACGGCCCACCAAGGCGACGAUCAGUAGCCGGUCUGAGAGGAUGAACGGCCACACUGGAACUGAGACACGGUCCAGACUCCUACGGGAGGCAGCAGUGGGGAAUCUUCCGCAAUGGGCGAAAGCCUGACGGAGCAACGCCGCGUGAGUGAUGACGGCCUUCGGGUUGUAAAACUCUGUGAUCCGGGACGAAAAGGCAGAGUGCGAAGAACAAACUGCAUUGACGGUACCGGAAAAGCAAGCCACGGCUAACUACGUG
Molecule: ribosomal RNA, 513 nt
Filed under: uncultured bacterium
Lineage: Bacteria
Description: partial 16S ribosomal RNA
Rfam family: Bacterial small subunit ribosomal RNA
Source: RNAcentral